Molecule: long non-coding RNA, 1633 nt
Filed under: Setaria viridis
Lineage: Eukaryota; Viridiplantae; Streptophyta; Magnoliopsida; Poales; Poaceae
Description: long non-coding RNA (SVIR_LNC004594)
Source: RNAcentral
UAGAUUGAUAAGAAAAACAAGGUAAAAGCCGAUCGAAAUGUGUUCCAAGAUGGGUAACUGUGACAAAUGCUAAAACAACAAGAAUUAAUUGAUAAAACUUGCAAAGUUAGCAAAUAUCGAUAACUUGUGAAUAAAUCUAGAUGAAACGACACCGAUGCGCCUGAAGUUAAAGCCUAGAAAGUAUUCAGUAGACACAGAACUUAUAGUCUAGCCGGAGAUCGAAGCGAUGCAGCUCAACUAGCUUGGAAGAACUCGUUAAGAAAAGAAAAUAAUGGCGAAGUCGCCGACUUGAAAGUAAAUUGCGAGGAUAGUAGAUUUGUAUUGAUUAUGAUGUGUCUCGUUCCAGACCUCGUAGGGCCUCUAUUUAUACCCUAAACAUCAAGACUUCUAGCCCUAGUCGAUUAUGACAAAACAUAAGAUCUAUCUCUAAAGAAACAAACUUUCUAAACAAAACAAAAUUAAAAUGACUCGUAUGGGAGUCGGAAAUGAACUUGACCACCAUCAGCCAAAACCAGCUUUUCAUCGGCCGAAGCUCCAACAUCUCCAAUCGGCUUGAAUCCUUCUGCUCGCAUCGACUGGAUCCCCAUCACCUCCGAUCGGCUGAUCCCAUCGGCUAUGCCCCUAUCAUCUUCGAUCGACUGCACCCUUGUGAUUCCAUCAUCCGAUUUUACUAGCCGUUGCUCUUCUUUCCUACAUCAGCAUCUCCGCUUCCUUUUGAUGCCAAUUUUGACACGUGUCAAAAAAUGGUGUCAACAACUUGAUAUGAGAAAGGAUCAUGCAAGCUCCAAUAAAAAAUUCUAGGUUGCAUCAAAGCCAAUUCUCAAUCUCCCCCAUGAUGAAUCCCACAAGACAACCAAAAGAUUCAAGCAAAAGACACAAGGGCUUCAUGAAUCUGAAAAUGCCAUCAAAGCUAUUUCAACAUUUGUCAAAUGCUCAUCACUAUAAAAUCAAGGUUCAUAUCAACUUGAUUUUCUCAAUCUCCCCCUUGAUGAGUGUGUUGACAACAUUCAAGCACAAAUAAAUGGUUUGAGAGGUAAAAGCCGAAAAUCUCAUCCAAGUGAUCAAAAGCCAAGUAAAGGCAAGGAUUAAAGUCACUAGGCAUGAGAAGCAUCACAAAUGCCAAAUCAACUUGGAAAACUCUCGAUCCCCAAAGAUAUGGGCAAGGGCUCGACACAACCGAGACAAAGAGCACAUGAUUCCUCAAGAAGAGGCAGAAAGGGGCUCAAUACCAAUCAUGUGAAGAUCGAAAGCACAUGAUCCCUCAAGAAGAAGCAGAAAGGGCUCAACACCAAUCAUGUGACGAUCGAAAGCUCAAAUCAAAUGCCGGUUCCUCAAGAAGAGGUAAAAGCUCACACAACCGAUAAAAGAGUAAAAGAGAGCACAAAACUAGCACAAAGCUCAGAAACUGCCACUAAACACAAGCAACAUAGCAAGAAAGCACACAAAGCUCACAAGCUCCCCCUAAACAUAUGCACUCUGCCUAAAAACAUGCCACAAUGAAAUUCAUGCACAAGAGCAAAAGAAUGCAUGCUCCCCCUCAAAUGCAAAACUCCCCCUUAAAUGCAAGACUCCCCCUUAAAUGCAAACACAAAGAUUCACAUGGGAGCACAAAAUGCAUAUAAUGAGGUGUACA